Molecule: unclassified non-coding RNA, 28 nt
Filed under: Dictyostelium discoideum
Lineage: Eukaryota; Evosea; Eumycetozoa; Dictyosteliales; Dictyosteliaceae
Source: RNAcentral
UACCAACACUAGUGGGCCAUUUUUGGUA